AGUAAUAUACUUUAAAAAAAAGUAUUCAUUUGCAAUGAAAGAUUGAUAAUCUAUCUAUUACUA
This 63-nucleotide transfer RNA is filed under the name Celleporella hyalina. Its description in RNAcentral is "tRNA-Ala". The record is from RNAcentral. Lineage: Eukaryota; Metazoa; Bryozoa; Gymnolaemata; Cheilostomatida; Hippothoidae.